This 1366-nucleotide long non-coding RNA is filed under the name Cricetulus griseus (Chinese hamster). Its description in RNAcentral is "lncRNA (ENSCGRG00015038173.1)". The record is from RNAcentral. Lineage: Eukaryota; Metazoa; Chordata; Mammalia; Rodentia; Cricetidae.
UUCUGAUUCACUAAAGUUUCUUUUCUCAAAAUAACACGUUGCGUAAGGAUGGGAAGACAAGGAAAACAAACGGACAGUCUGAAUACUACAGACCGUCCUCAUCACUUCAGAAAUACUGAAACUCAGAAGAGCAAGACACCUCAUAAAAACACUUGCCCCAAAAGCUGACAACCUGAAUUCUGCCUCUGGAACCACAUAAAGACGCAUUAAAGCUUUACUGCAGAAGGAUCCGAAUGUCCUGUGAGGUUCUUGCCGGCAAGACUAUCUCGCGGGACAUCUGGUGCCGAAACCCGGGAACUUGUUAACAUCGCCGGCACUGCGGAGACCCCUCGGACGAGGCGGAUUCAGAACUGCAGGGUGGACGAAGAGAAUCCCCUGUGGAUCCCGGAAAGACUCACCCAAAGAGCCCCUUCAGACACUCAGAAGUCGAAACUCCACCUUCUCCCCGGGAGUUGAGAGCCCUAUUAUCCAGAUUAACUCCAUGCACCUUGACCUGUCCUUGACGGAGGGAUUGUCAUCAUGGAUCGCUUCAGCUGUCUCCUAUUUUAAGGACUGGGUGGAGGGGUGGGACUUUUUGGCACAAUUCUCUGCAGUGGUGUGGUGUUUAUGCUUGGGACUGUGUGUAGACUCAAAACCCAAACAAAAAAGGUAAGGUAGUGGUUGCACAGGCACUUGCUGCCCUAGAGAAUGGAAUCUCCCCCGGCAAUUGUCUAAGCAUGUUGAGGCAAUAGGUCGCCGACUGCUCAGCUCCUGCAUCUCCGGAGGCUUGACCUCAUUGCACAGAAUAGAGUGAGCAAGGUUCGGCAGGUCAAAAGAGUUGUAAGGCUAAGCACUGCACAGAAAGGGCCUGCGGCUUUUCUUGUGGCUCUUCUGGGAGACAUGUCAUCUUGCAUGAAGGUUAUAUGUCAUAAUGCCCUUCCCCCAGAAAAAGACAUAAGGACGGGUCUGGGCCUGCUCUGGACACAGAGUCUGGAGUCCUGCUCAAGACAAGGUCUGCAUCCAGUUUUGGGGAGUUGACCUCUAUCUCCACUCUGCAUUUGGCUGGCCUAUAGCCUCUGUGUUUCUAUAUAAUUAUAUAGGGGGAGAUGUGAGGAGCCGCACUCACAUUCGCCAUUACAAGAUGGCGCUGACAUCCGCUGCCGGAUCAAGUAAACAACGUUGGUAUACAUGUGCCCAGUGUUUUUCCACUGCCUAGCCCUGCCUAUUCCAUGGCGUCAUAUAGGGUCAUGCACCUAUCCCAGCUGUACACGCAUCGCUCAGAGUUUGUGAGCCUUUAUAAGGGGACGGGAUUCUUGGCUCGGGGUCUCCGCUCUGGUAAGCUUAUGCUCUCCUCUCAAGACGCAUUAAAGCUUUACUGCAGAAGGAU